GAGAGAGGAAGGGCGGCUGCCGGCGAGAUUUCGCUGAGGAAAGUCCCCUCACCUUCUGGACCGCGGAUGCUCGCAAGGGCAUAGGGUGAGAAUCUUGGCUCUGGAACAGAAACGAUACCGCAGCGCAGUAAUGCGAUGAGCUCGAAAGAGUGAGGUCAUGCGUAUGCGGAUGGAACGGCGAAUCCCCGCGGGUGCAAGCCGAAAUAGGACUACAAGGGCAGUCCAGACCUGUCCGAGUACGGCGCAUAGCCAAAUGCUGCAUGAGCGCUCCAGGGGCAUUGCUCCUGCGCUAAACAUAAAGGGGCUUACUCUCCUCACUC
Molecule: RNase P RNA, 320 nt
Filed under: Candidatus Methanoperedens sp.
Lineage: Archaea; Methanobacteriati; Methanobacteriota; Methanomicrobia; Methanosarcinales; Candidatus Methanoperedentaceae
Description: RNase P RNA component
Rfam family: Archaeal RNase P
About the family: Ribonuclease P (RNase P) is a ubiquitous endoribonuclease, found in archaea, bacteria and eukarya as well as chloroplasts and mitochondria. Its best characterised activity is the generation of mature 5'-ends of tRNAs by cleaving the 5'-leader elements of precursor-tRNAs. Cellular RNase Ps are ribonucleoproteins.
Source: RNAcentral